This 484-nucleotide ribosomal RNA is filed under the name uncultured bacterium. RNAcentral describes it as "partial 16S ribosomal RNA". It matches the Rfam family "Bacterial small subunit ribosomal RNA", at positions 30 to 507 of the family's 1533-position model. The record is from RNAcentral.
AUUGAACGCUGGCGGCAGGCCUAACACAUGCAAGUCGAGCGGAUGAAGGGAGCUUGCUCCUGGAUUCAGCGGCGGACGGGUGAGUAAUGCCUAGGAAUCUGCCUGGUAGUGGGGGAUAACGUCCGGAAACGGGCGCUAAUACCGCAUACGUCCUGAGGGAGAAAGUGGGGGAUCUUCGGACCUCACGCUAUCAGAUGAGCCUAGGUCGGAUUAGCUAGUUGGUGGGGUAAAGGCCUACCAAGGCGACGAUCCGUAACUGGUCUGAGAGGAUGAUCAGUCACACUGGAACUGAGACACGGUCCAGACUCCUACGGGAGGCAGCAGUGGGGAAUAUUGGACAAAGGGCGAAAGCCUGAUCCAGCCAUGCCGCGUGUGUGGAGAAGGUCUUCGGAUUGUAAAGCACUUUAAGUUGGGAGGAAGGGCAGUAAGUUAAUACCUUGCUGUUUUGACGUUACCAGCAGAAUAAGCACCGGCUAGCUUCGUG